CAGAAUUUGGAGUACAUUUAAAAUAAGUUGAAAAUUGGAAUAAGCCGUAAAAACAGCAGUCUAAAGUAGCAAAUCUUCAAGGACUUCUUCAAAGCUAAUGGUUGAAAUUCACACCCCAAUUUUAGCCUCCAAAGCUGGCGCCGCCCUCCCUUCACUCAAUGUCCACUCACCUUUUGCAAACCUGCAAAACCAAUUCACAAUUUAAAAAAAAACAGCUUAUCCAAAUAAGCACUUUAAAAACUAGAAAAUAAAGGAUGGGACAAACAGAUUAGCUCUUUACACAACAAACCAAGAAGAACGUUCAAAGAUCACAUUCCAAUAUCCAAACCUACAACCUUAAAUCCAUAAGAUUAAGAAUAUCCAAACCUACAACCUUAAAUCCAUAAGAUUAAUCAUCCCACAAAAUCUGGAGAAAGGAUAGCUUGGCAAGUUAUCUUAUAACCAACAAUGAGCAUAUAUAAACAAGAAAAAAUUAAUUAACAAGACACGUUCUAAAAAACUCAGAGAAAUUGCUAAAAAUAUUUCUCUCUGUUAAAACCACAAACAAAAGAACAAGGCAUAGGUUUUUCGACAGAUUCAACAGGAUAACCAAAUAUUUCUCAACUCAAUCAAAGAUUUUUUCUUUGUUAAACCUAAACCAAAUAGAAGAAACUUUUUUUUCCAGAGAACAAUCAAACAAUAAUCCAUAAAAAGCUCUAAACCCUAAGACAUCAAGCCAAUCAACAACAACACUCAAAGCAAAAAUAAAAGAAAGCAAAAAAUAGAAGAAGAUGGAGAACUUAUCUUAAACCGUGGGGAGCUUCGCCGGAGUUGGAUUUCAAACAAGUAAUUUUUUCCUCCUUCGUUAAAGUCUUUGCAUCAUCAUCAUUUACGCCUCUUCAUACUGGAUGAGAUCUUUCUUUUAAUUUCUUCAAAACUUUGUUGUAGAACUUCAGAUCUUGAAUCUAGGGUUAGGUUUUGGGUGUUUAAGUUUUUGGUUAAGGUUAAGAACGAAUCAAGCUACGUUUGGCCAUAUGAGAAGGAGAGUUUAGGGUUAGUUUUG
RNAcentral lists this long non-coding RNA (1042 nucleotides) under Lathyrus oleraceus (garden pea). Its description in RNAcentral is "Pisum sativum (pea) long non-coding RNA (PSAT_LNC034524)". Lineage: Eukaryota; Viridiplantae; Streptophyta; Magnoliopsida; Fabales; Fabaceae. The record is from RNAcentral.